RNAcentral lists this ribosomal RNA (433 nucleotides) under uncultured bacterium. RNAcentral describes it as "partial 16S ribosomal RNA". It matches the Rfam family "Bacterial small subunit ribosomal RNA", at positions 29 to 507 of the family's 1533-position model. The record is from RNAcentral.
AACGAACGCUGGCGGCAUGCCUAACACAUGCAAGUCGAACGAGACCUUCGGGUCUAGUGGCGCACGGGUGCGUAACGCGUGGGAACCUGCCCUUAGGUUCGGAAUAACUCCCCGAAAGGGGUGCUAAUACCGGAUAAAGUCUUCGGACCAAAGAUUUAUCGCCUUUGGAUGGGCCCGCGUUGGAUUAGCUAGUUGGUAGGGUAAAAGCCUACCAAGGCGACGAUCCAUAGCUGGUCUGAGAGGAUGAUCAGCCACACUGGGACUGAGACACGGCCCAGACUCCUACGGGAGGCAGCAGUGGGGAAUAUUGGACAAUGGGCGAAAGCCUGAUCCAGCAAUGCCGCGUGAGUGAUGAAAGCCUUAGGGUUGUAAAGCUCUUUUACCCGGGAUGAUAAUGACAGUACCGGGAGAAUAAGCUCCGGCUAACUCCGUG